Molecule: ribosomal RNA, 492 nt
Filed under: uncultured bacterium
Lineage: Bacteria
Description: partial 16S ribosomal RNA
Rfam family: Bacterial small subunit ribosomal RNA
Source: RNAcentral
GAUGAACGCUAGCUACAGGCUUAACACAUGCAAGUCGAGGGGAAACGACAUCGAAAGCUUGCUUUUGAUGGGCGUCGACCGGCGCACGGGUGAGUAACGCGUAUCCAACCUGCCCAUCACUUGGGAAUAACCUUGCGAAAGUAAGACUAAUACCCAAUGAUAUCCCACGAAGGCAUCGGAAUGGGAUUAAAGAUUUAUCGGUGAUGGAUGGGGAUGCGUCUGAUUAGCUUGUUGGCGGGGUAACGGCCCACCAAGGCAACGAUCAGUAGGGGUUCUGAGAGGAAGGUCCCCCACAUUGGAACUGAGACACGGUCCAAACUCCUACGGGAGGCAGCAGUGAGGAAUAUUGGUCAAUGGGCGAGAGCCUGAACCAGCCAAGUAGCGUGCAGGAUGACGGCCCUAUGGGUUGUAAACUGCUUUUAUAAGGGAAUAAAGUGGGUCUCGUGAGACUUUUUGCAUGUACCUUAUGAAUAAGAACCGGCUAAUUCCGUG